Myotis brandtii (Brandt's bat) is the source of this 75-nucleotide non-coding RNA. Lineage: Eukaryota; Metazoa; Chordata; Mammalia; Chiroptera; Vespertilionidae. The record is from Rfam.
UGCGAUUCUUGGGUAAUGCACCCUGGAAUCGGGCUUCCUCCUCUCUGGUUCCGGGUGCGUCACCCGAGAACCACA